CCAAAACAAAUGGAUACUUCUUAGUUUUCUUAUCACAAAACAUAAAUUUCAGGUAUUUUUGGGAGUUAACGCUUAAAAAUGCGUCUGACCAAGAUCUGGAAGAACCGAGCUCCGGGUGACCGUCACCUGAGCACGUACUUUUGCUUUGCGGCCCUAAGGUUUGUCCUUGUUUUUGUUCCCCAACUGGGGUAUGUGCAUCCUGACGAGUUUUUCCAAAGCGUGGAGGUAAUGACAGGUGACCACUUUCGGCUGGAGCACACUCGGACCUGGGAAUUCAACAACUCGAUGCCGGUGAGAAGCAUCACAUUACCUUUUGCGUUACUUCGAGUGCCCUGGAGUUUCUACGAGUUCAUCGCCAUAUAUCUUCGCACCUGGUGGAACAUUGAUAUACUUGGCACCUAUGCCUAUGUGGUGUUUCCGCGGAUUAUUUACACCCUGAUUUCGUACAGCAAUGAUUGGUGCUUGUAUCGCAUUUGCCGGCUUUAUGGAAUGCGCUUUGAGAUCCGGCUACUGGCGCUGGGUAGCUCCUGGGUGCUGCUUGUCUUCGGUACCCGCACCUUCUCCAACAGCUUGGAGAUGGCCAUGUGCUCCUGGCUGCUCUGUCUGGUGUCCGAGUGCAUGCUGCGCACUAAUACGGUGGUUUACAAAAAGGAGUUCCUCGAGGAGAAAUACGAAAAGGCAGAAUCUAUCAGCGAGCGUGUACGAAUUUGGAAGCUGAAGAACGCCCUGCCAGCCCACAAUCUCCAGCACCUGCUGGCCAUGUCGACGAUAUGUGUGGCCGGUGUCUUCAAUCGUCCGACUUUCCUUCUUUUUGGAGCUCCAAUGGUUUUCUUCUGGCUGUUGCGCGGCAUGGGCACGCGGACUGUUACGUUUCGGGACUUUAACCUGCGGAUCGCACUCUUCUGCCUUUGUUCCCUUCCGGCUCUCAUUGUGUUCAUCUUCUGUGAUUCAUUGUAUUACCAACAUCUCACCGUGGGAGAACUCCACAUGAUGCACCUGUCCAUUGACAACUUCGUUUUUACGCCGUGGAACUUUAUCAAAGCGAAUCUGGACUCUGCACAGACUGCCAGUCAUGGAGUGCAUCCGUGCUAUGUACAUUUAAUGGUGAACAUGCCGAUGCUUUUUAAUGUCCUGGCCUUGGCAUCGCUGGGGGCCUUUGCCCAGCUGCUGCUGCGCUUCUUUCAGGCUGAGUACCAAGUGCUGCCCCGCUUCCAGAGCAUUGUGUCUCUCAUGUCAGGUGCCAUAUUCGUGCCGCUCUUUUUUCUGUCGCUGAUCAACCAUCAGGAACCUCGCUUUUUGCUGCCUGUGACGCUCCCAUUGUUGGUCCUUCACGCUCCUAAACUGGUGACCGGUUUCAGCGCAAAGUAUCCCUUCCAAAAGGAACACCCUCUGCUGCGCCGCUUUUACGAUACACUGCUCUCAAGCAAGGCCUCAGCCCCAUAUCUGCUAAAGAUCUGGUACGUGAGCAAUGUGGCGCUGACCCUUUUCUUUGGAUUCAUACACCAGGCAGGGGUUUACCCUCUGGCUGCGGAUAUGUCGCAUGUAGUGGCCACAAAGCCAGCUGCCACGCACGUUCACCUGAUGACCUCCCACAUGUACAGCUUGCCCCUGCACUUGGUCAACAUUCCGAGCUCCCGAGUGCUGCACUUCAACAUGCAGACCCACCAGCGCUAUCGCCGGCAGCGGGACUUCUAUUUGUACGAAUACGGGGGCCUCUCCUUGGACUUUCUGAUGCAAAAGGUGAAACUCAUCAGUGGCAACUGCGAGGUGAAGUUGUCGGGUCCAAAUCGUCUGCGCUACAAGCUGUAUUUGGCCAUUCCUGCAUCGCUCAGUGGCGAGCUUCACGAGGCGCUGGCGCGCUCCAAUGCUAGCAGUUACCUGAAUUUCGAGCUACUCAAUGUCUUCUAUCCGCAUCUAUCGACGGAGGCAUUUCCUCGCCUGCAGGGAAGGCAUCCCUGCGACUUGGAUGCUCCGCACUGGACGGACGACGAUCUCCGAGGGACCUGCGCCGUGGAGCAGCCGCCCUCAUUCAGUGUUUCCUAUCUCAAUAAGCAAUUUAGCUCGUUCGUCCACCAACUAGGUCUGGCGCUCUACGAGAUCGAUGUGCGGCGAAAGAAACCGCGGUCAGUGGAACCAAAGACGUCCGCCCUGCCAGAAACUCCGGUGUAGGACUGGCCGUACACUUAUUCAAAGUGCCUUGAACCAAAGUUGUAGGCUAAUAUUAAAUACUUUGCAGUUUUAUUUCAACUCUAGUCUUGUGACAUUUCUGCACAAACUUUACUUUAUAAUUACUUCUAGUCAUUAGCAAAUAACUAUGCAUAAUUGUAACUUAAGUUUUGACAAAUUCUCGGGUCUAUACGUAAUAACUAAUUUAGGACAAUAAUGGUUUUGGCAGACGGAAAGGCGAUCCCAUUCAAGGGGUGUCGCCAUCGAUCGAAGGGAAUGCUGGCAGAGAGUAAUCCAUUUGACACGCUGUUGGCUGGUAAUACCCGACAAACAUCUGAGGCGCGGCAUCCGCGUUCAAUGAACGUUACUGGGCAGAAAUCUGGUUGCGGGCGCAAUUGUGUUCUAAUUUGGAUUUUGUAUUUGGGCUGCCUAAGCCGGAAACUUGUUUGGCAAUCGGUGGCGACAAUUGGCC
Molecule: non-coding RNA, 2638 nt
Organism: Drosophila bipectinata
Lineage: Eukaryota; Metazoa; Arthropoda; Insecta; Diptera; Drosophilidae
Source: RefSeq, a predicted model, not a curated record